UGAGGAAUAUUGGACAAUGGGUGAAAGCCUGAUCCAGCCAUCCCGCGUGAAGGACGACGGCCCUAUGGGUUGUAAACUUCUUUUGUACAGGAAUAAACCAUUCUACGUGUAGGAUGCUGAAGGUACUGUACGAAUAAGCACCGGCUAACUCCGUGCCAGCAGCCGCGGUAAUACGGAGGGUGCAAGCGUUAUCCGGAUUUAUUGGGUUUAAAGGGUCCGUAGGCGGACCGAUAAGUCAGUGGUGAAAUCUCAUAGCUUAACUAUGAAACUGCCAUUGAUACUGUCGGUCUUGAGUAAAUUUGAAGUGGCUGGAAUAAGUAGUGUAGCGGUGAAAUGCAUAGAUAUUACUUAGAACACCAAUUGCGAAGGCAGGUCACUAAGAUUUAACUGACGCUGAGGGACGAAAGCGUGGGGAGCGAACA
RNAcentral lists this ribosomal RNA (422 nucleotides) under uncultured Chryseobacterium sp. RNAcentral describes it as "bacterial SSU rRNA". It matches the Rfam family "Bacterial small subunit ribosomal RNA", at positions 355 to 774 of the family's 1533-position model. The record is from RNAcentral. Lineage: Bacteria; Pseudomonadati; Bacteroidota; Flavobacteriia; Flavobacteriales; Weeksellaceae.